Molecule: ribosomal RNA, 587 nt
Filed under: Mesobacillus subterraneus
Lineage: Bacteria; Bacillati; Bacillota; Bacilli; Caryophanales; Bacillaceae
Also listed under: 1 other name
Description: bacterial SSU rRNA
Rfam family: Bacterial small subunit ribosomal RNA
Source: RNAcentral
CCUACGGGAGGCAGCAGUAGGGAAUCUUCCGCAAUGGACGAAAGUCUGACGGAGCAACGCCGCGUGAGCGAUGAAGGCCUUCGGGUCGUAAAGCUCUGUUGUCAGGGAAGAACAAGUACCGGAGUAACUGCCGGUACCUUGACGGUACCUGACCAGAAAGCCACGGCUAACUACGUGCCAGCAGCCGCGGUAAUACGUAGGUGGCAAGCGUUGUCCGGAAUUAUUGGGCGUAAAGCGCGCGCAGGCGGUUCCUUAAGUCUGAUGUGAAAGCCCCCGGCUCAACCGGGGAGGGUCAUUGGAAACUGGGGAACUUGAGUGCAGAAGAGGAGAGCGGAAUUCCACGUGUAGCGGUGAAAUGCGUAGAGAUGUGGAGGAACACCAGUGGCGAAGGCGGCUCUCUGGUCUGUAACUGACGCUGAGGCGCGAAAGCGUGGGGAGCGAACAGGAUUAGAUACCCUGGUAGUCCACGCCGUAAACGAUGAGUGCUAAGUGUUAGAGGGUUUCCGCCCUUUAGUGCUGCAGCAAACGCAUUAAGCACUCCGCCUGGGGAGUACGGCCGCAAGGCUGAAACUCAAAGGAAUUGACGG